Molecule: ribosomal RNA, 823 nt
Filed under: Arthrobacter sp. PCA1-19_Pa
Lineage: Bacteria; Bacillati; Actinomycetota; Actinomycetes; Micrococcales; Micrococcaceae
Description: bacterial SSU rRNA
Rfam family: Bacterial small subunit ribosomal RNA
Source: RNAcentral
UCGAACGAUGAUCCCAGCUUGCUGGGGGAUUAGUGGCGAACGGGUGAGUAACACGUGAGUAACCUGCCCUUGACUCUGGGAUAAGCCUGGGAAACUGGGUCUAAUACCGGAUAUGACCAUUCCACGCAUGUGGUGGUGGUGGAAAGCUUUUGUGGUUUUGGAUGGACUCGCGGCCUAUCAGCUUGUUGGUGGGGUAAUGGCCUACCAAGGCGACGACGGGUAGCCGGCCUGAGAGGGUGACCGGCCACACUGGGACUGAGACACGGCCCAGACUCCUACGGGAGGCAGCAGUGGGGAAUAUUGCACAAUGGGCGCAAGCCUGAUGCAGCGACGCCGCGUGAGGGAUGACGGCCUUCGGGUUGUAAACCUCUUUCAGUAGGGAAGAAGCGAAAGUGACGGUACCUGCAGAAGAAGCGCCGGCUAACUACGUGCCAGCAGCCGCGGUAAUACGUAGGGCGCAAGCGUUAUCCGGAAUUAUUGGGCGUAAAGAGCUCGUAGGCGGUUUGUCGCGUCUGCUGUGAAAGACCGGGGCUCAACUCCGGUUCUGCAGUGGGUACGGGCAGACUAGAGUGCAGUAGGGGAGACUGGAAUUCCUGGUGUAGCGGUGAAAUGCGCAGAUAUCAGGAGGAACACCGAUGGCGAAGGCAGGUCUCUGGGCUGUAACUGACGCUGAGGAGCGAAAGCAUGGGGAGCGAACAGGAUUAGAUACCCUGGUAGUCCAUGCCGUAAACGUUGGGCACUAGGUGUGGGGGACAUUCCACGUUUUCCGCGCCGUAGCUAACGCAUUAAGUGCCCCGCCUGGGGAGUACGGCCGCAAGGUAAA